AUUGAACGCUGGCGGCAGGCCUAACACAUGCAAGUCGAGCGGAUGAAGGGAGCUUGCUCCUGGAUUCAGCGGCGGACGGGUGAGUAAUGCCUAGGAAUCUGCCUGGUAGUGGGGGAUAACGUCCGGAAACGGGCGCUAAUACCGCAUACGUCCUGAGGGAGAAAGUGGGGGAUCGUCGGACCUCACGCUAUCAGAUGAGCCUAGGUCGGAUUAGCUAGUUGGUGGGGUAAAGGCCUACCAAGGCGACGAUCCGUAACUGGUCUGAGAGGAUGAUCAGUCACACUGGAACUGAGACACGGUCCAGACUCCUACGGGAGGCAGCAGUGGGGAAUAUUGGACAAUGGGCGAAAGCCUGAUCCAGCCAUGCCGCGUGUGUGAAGAAGGUCUUCGCAUUGUAAAGCACUUUAAGUUGGGAGGAAGGGCAGUAAGUUAAUACCUUGCUGUUUUGACGUUACCAACAGAAUAAGCACCGGCUAACUUCGUG
RNAcentral lists this ribosomal RNA (484 nucleotides) under uncultured bacterium. Its description in RNAcentral is "partial 16S ribosomal RNA". It matches the Rfam family "Bacterial small subunit ribosomal RNA", at positions 30 to 507 of the family's 1533-position model. The record is from RNAcentral.